UACGUAGGGGGCAAGCGUUGUCCGGAUUUAUUGGGCGUAAAGAGCGUGUAGGCGGCCUUACAGGUCAGCUGUGAAAACUCGAGGCUCAACCUCGAGACGUCGGUUGAAACCGUAAGGCUAGAGUCCGGAAGAGGAGAGUGGAAUUCCCGGUGUAGCGGUGAAAUGCGCAGAUAUCGGGAAGAACACCCGUGGCGAAGGCGGCUCUCUGGGACGGUACCGACGCUGAGACGCGAAAGCGUGGGGAGCGAACAGG
This 253-nucleotide ribosomal RNA is filed under the name uncultured bacterium. RNAcentral describes it as "partial 16S ribosomal RNA". It matches the Rfam family "Bacterial small subunit ribosomal RNA", at positions 524 to 776 of the family's 1533-position model. The record is from RNAcentral.